This 253-nucleotide ribosomal RNA is filed under the name uncultured bacterium. Its description in RNAcentral is "partial 16S ribosomal RNA". It matches the Rfam family "Bacterial small subunit ribosomal RNA", at positions 524 to 776 of the family's 1533-position model. The record is from RNAcentral.
UACGUAGGAGACGAGCGUUGUCCGGAAUUACUGGGCGUAAAGCGCGUGUAGGCGGAUGAGCAAGUCUGCUGUGAAAGCUCCUGGCUUAACCGGGAGUGGUCGGUGGAAACUGCUCGUCUGGAGGACGGUAGAGGCUGGUGGAAUUCCCGGUGUAGUGGUGGAAUGCGUAGAUAUCGGGAGGAACACCAGUGGCGAAGGCGGUUACCUGGAGCUUUGCUGACGCUGAUGCGCGAAAGCUAGGGGAGCAAACAGG